CACCAGCUCGCCGCACUCGACCAGAUUAAAAAGGGUGAGCCCUUGACUGAUGAGCUGGUGAGAGAGUACGCGCCUCGACUGCGGUUCCUGUCGCGACCACCCUCGCCGCAGACGCUUGAUGACAGUUCCCAACCCUCUAGCAGUAACAAUGAUAAAAGUUCCUAUAUGAAUCAAA
Molecule: long non-coding RNA, 175 nt
Organism: Papilio polytes (common Mormon)
Lineage: Eukaryota; Metazoa; Arthropoda; Insecta; Lepidoptera; Papilionidae
Exons: 3
Source: RefSeq, a predicted model, not a curated record